Long non-coding RNA from Scylla paramamosain (green mud crab), 512 nucleotides. RefSeq lists it as uncharacterized. The transcript is spliced from 3 exons. Lineage: Eukaryota; Metazoa; Arthropoda; Malacostraca; Decapoda; Portunidae. The record is from RefSeq and is a predicted model, not a curated record.
AGAUCGUGGCUAAAAAUGCUCAAAUAAGCAGUUAUGGUGAGGCUUUCUCCAUCACAGCCACCACCAAGGACGAAGGCGCUUCCGAUCAAAGUACUGAGACAGAGAUGACCGACGCAAAAACAACUCAACGCAGCCUACGCUUCAGCUGGGACGAGUCUCGGAGUGACAAUUGCAUCACUGAUUACUACACAGUCACAUUCUUUGAUGGAGACAAGAGGACUGUGAAAAAUAUCACCGAUAAUGAAAUCAGAUUUGAUGGCCUGGCUCCCGGCAAGAAGUACACGCUAGAAGUGGAGAGAUGUCCUAGGACAGGGAAAUGUGAAAAACUGAAGACGUUUGAAAAAUGGACGAAACCAGAGAAGCCACGAGUGGUCGAGGAAACAGAACUCCAGACAACAACAGACACCACCAUCACCAUCCAGCUGACCGACUUGGAGAACACCCCCGGGUGUGUGUGUGUGUGUGUGUGUGUGUGUGUGUGUGUGUGUGUGUGUGAGAGAGAGAGAGAGAGA